ACAAGCGGUGGAGCAUGUGGUUUAAUUCGAUGCAACGCGAAGAACCUUACCUGGUCUUGACAUCCCGGAGACCCUUAGGAACUAGGGGUGCUUCCAUCUGGAAGAAUCUGGAGACAGGUGCUGCAUGGCUGUCGUCAGCUCGUGUCGUGAGAUGUUGGGUUAAGUCCCGCAACGAGCGCAACCCUUGCCUUUAGUUGCCAGCAGUUCGGCUGGGCACUCUAAAGGGACUGCCGGUGUUAAACCGGAGGAAGGUGGGGAUGACGUCAAGUCCUCAUGGCCUUUAUGACCAGGGCUACACACGUACUACAAUGGCCGAUACAAAGGGCAGCGACACUGCGAGGUGAAGCCAAUCCCGUAAAAUCGGUCUCAGUCCGGAUUGGAGUCUGCAACUCGACUCCAUGAAGUUGGAAUCGCUAGUAAUCGUGGAUCAGCAUGCCACGGUGAAUACGUUCCCGGGCCUU
Molecule: ribosomal RNA, 461 nt
Filed under: uncultured Desulfobulbus sp.
Lineage: Bacteria; Pseudomonadati; Thermodesulfobacteriota; Desulfobulbia; Desulfobulbales; Desulfobulbaceae
Description: bacterial SSU rRNA
Rfam family: Bacterial small subunit ribosomal RNA
Source: RNAcentral